Molecule: ribosomal RNA, 254 nt
Filed under: uncultured bacterium
Lineage: Bacteria
Description: partial 16S ribosomal RNA
Rfam family: Bacterial small subunit ribosomal RNA
Source: RNAcentral
UACGGGGGGGCAAGCGUUGUUCGGAAUUACUGGGCGUAAAGGGCUCGUAGGCGGCCAACUAAGUCCGACGUGAAAUCCCCAGGCUCAACCUGGGAACUGCAUCCGAUACUGGAUGGCUUGAAUCCGGGAGAGGGAUGCAGAAUUCCAGGUGUAGCGGUGAAAUGCGUAGAGUAUCUGGAGGAAUACCGGUGGCGAAGGCGGCAUCCUGGACCGGCAUUGACGCUGAGGAGCGAAAGCCAGGGGAGCAAAGCGGG